Ipomoea nil (Japanese morning glory) is the source of this 663-nucleotide long non-coding RNA. RefSeq lists it as uncharacterized. Lineage: Eukaryota; Viridiplantae; Streptophyta; Magnoliopsida; Solanales; Convolvulaceae. The record is from RefSeq and is a predicted model, not a curated record. The transcript is spliced from 6 exons.
CUCCCAAGAUUUUCAGCUAGGGCUGAAAAGAAUUGGAAAAUUGAGAUGCUUUAUGAUGGCGCGUGCCCACUUUGUAUGCGAGAGGCAAUGUCUCAAGUGCGUUAGAUUUUGUGAUGGGUGAAACCGUGAAAGCACAUUCCUGAUAGAUCCAACCGGUGGGGAAGAUGGUGAACCAACUGGGAUUUUCAAAGGAGUUGUUACGACUGCAGAUGAUGGAGGUUUUGCCAUUUCAUUGUUGCCAGGGCAGAGGAAACCCUACCAAAUUAUAAUAUUUAGGCAAUGUCUCAAGUGCGUUAGAUUUUGUGAAAGCACAUUCCUGAUAGAUCCAACAGGGAUUUUCAAAGGAGUUACCACUGCAGAUGAUGGAGGUUUUGCCAUUUCAUUGUUGGCAGGGCAGAGGAAACCCUACCAAAUUAUAAUAUUUAGGAAUGCUUGCAUACUAAAGAUUAUGUGAUAGCUUACUCCAUGCUGGGUCGAAAAGGCCACAUGUAAUGCUUCCUCCUUCCUAUUCCAACUCGUUUUGGGCUUUCAUUUAUGUGUUUAGAUUACCUUUGUGUUUCCAGCACUGUUGCAUUGCUUGUUUCUUUUCCUCAUUUUGCAUACAGGCCUUAAGUGAUCCAAAUUGUUUUUAAAAUAAAGGAGUUUAGGUUUUUCCUAUUUCUU